This 1377-nucleotide long non-coding RNA is filed under the name Citrus maxima (pomelo). RNAcentral's name for it is "long non-coding RNA (CMAX_LNC002261)". Lineage: Eukaryota; Viridiplantae; Streptophyta; Magnoliopsida; Sapindales; Rutaceae. The record is from RNAcentral.
AAGGGAAAGGUUACAUGCUCAUUUCGAAAAGAUUUCCAAAUGCCUACAUAAUUGCCAUGUGUCCAAUUAGAAGGUGUUUUGUAAACUAGAAGGUGUGUUACCUACAGCACCCUAAGUUGUAAAAUAAACAUCUGUCUUUGUGUUUUGUACUUCACACAAUCAAAUUUAGAAAGUGUGGUACAUGCGGCGAACUCUUCCCACCGCUCAAUAGAUGCUUGAUUUAAAAAGCUAUGAAUAGCAGCCAAUAUUGCUUGUAUUGGGUGGGCAUCACAUCAUAUUUGGAUCAAUCCAAUCUGAUCAGAAUUGAUUUAUUCUUAUUCGAAUCGAAUUGAUCGGAAUUAAUUCGGAUCAAAUCAGAUCCAAAUCAAUUCGACCAAUUUGAUCGAAUUGCACUUGUUAUUAAAAAAAUAUAAAUAUAGAUUAAAAUCAACCCUCAAAUCCUUAAAAUCCCAAAUCAGAUAUAAAGAAUCAAAGAAGCAGCAGCAUCAUACAAAUAUCAAUGAACUAGUCGAUCUCUUUGAGAAAAAAUCCGACUAGCUAUCAAGCGUCGACUCCCUAUCUCCACGCCUACGAUGUUGCAACCACCAACUGCUGAGCCUUUGAACUGCCCGUUGCCACGUUACCGGUCAAAGCCGCAUGCAAACUGAAGUCCUAAACCCAACCGUUGCAUUUAUUUGUUUAUUGCAAGUUCCAAUGGAGUCGGAUCCAUAAAGCUUGUGAGGUGCAGAGGUUAUAAGAAUGGAUACUUUGACUUUGAAAAACUUGCAUAAAUUUAGGUCUUUUGAAUUACUUAUCAAUCUGUUUUUGAUUUGCCAGUAUGUCAUUCUCCUAGUCUUUUUGGUAAUCGUAAAGUUAAUUGUUUGAUUUAGUUUUCUUGCUUUUGGGAUGCAAUUGUUACUGAAGAUCUCAACUAAAUAAUUGAUGUUAAAAUGAAUCUUCUUCUUUUUUUCUUUUUUCCAUUUGCUGGCUUGCUGCAUUUUUUUUAUUUUAUUUGUGUGAUUUCAAUUUUAUAUUGCAACUUGAAAGUGAUAUGGAUUCAUCUUAUUUAUUCGAACAUAUAUUCAUAUAUUAUCGAUCCGAAUCCAAAUGUAAUCCGAAUUAUUCAUCCAAUCUGAAUAUGAUAUGAACGUGUUCAGGUCGGAUUUAAGUUCAGAUUGCAUUCAGAUGACUAUUUUAGCAAUCCAAAUAAUCCAAAUGGAAUCUGAAUUAUUCGAUUUUGCCCAUCCCUAUUCUUGUAAGUGAAACGAGAAUAUAGAAAUAGAUAAUUGAAUACAAAAGAGCUUUGCUAGCCAUUCCCUUGUUGACUUGCUUAUUAUCACUCUACUCCUUUAACUUCUCAAUUCUUUUAUAUUUUUGUAUGCAUAAUCUGGAUACUUC